Pelobates cultripes (western spadefoot toad) is the source of this 942-nucleotide non-coding RNA. The record is from the annotation of a GenBank genome assembly. Lineage: Eukaryota; Metazoa; Chordata; Amphibia; Anura; Pelobatidae.
CGCCUACCCUAUGCCCCGGAUAGACGAGCUCCUAGACAAAAUGGCCAGAGGCCAGUACCUCACCACAAUAGAUCUGUGCAAGGGGUACUGGCAAAUUCCAUUAGCCAAGGACGCCAUCCACAAGUCGGCAUUUGUCACCUCGUUUGGCCUGUAUCAGUUUAAGGCCAUGCCAUUCGGGAUGAAGAAUGCCCCGGCUAACUUUCAGAGGAUGGUAGAUCGGCUACUGGAUGGGUUUCAGGAGUAUGCCUGCGCCUACUUGGAUGAAAUAGCCAUUUUUAGCUCCUCCUGGCCCUAACACCUGACCCACAUAGGAGCCGUACUAGACCGGAUUAGGGAGGCCGGACUCACCCUAAAGCCCAAUAAGUGCCAUAUAGGAACGCGUAAAAACCUCCCCAAGAUAGUAGUAUGGGCCCCAGAGUGUGAACAGGCCUUCCAACAGCUCAAGACGGCUCUUAUUAAAUCACCUGUACUUUCUGCUCCUGAUCCAACUAAACGCUUUCUCGUCCAUACAGACGCUUCUAUGUUUGGAUUGGGAGCAGUACUGAGCUAAGUCGGAGCAAAUGGCGGUGAGCAACCCGGGGCUUAUCUAAGCCGGAAACUUUUGCCCAGGGAAGUAGAUACACUGCCAAUGAAAAGGAGUGCCUGGCGGUGGUGUGGGCCCUCAAAAAACUGCAACCUUACUUGUAUGGACAACCGUUUACCUUACUCACAGAUCACAACAAAUUUGGGGCACUGCGCGUGCAAUCUAAUGUGCCACCAGAUAGGAGUGGUGUGUUAAGUAGUACUAUUAUCAGUUUAAUCCCUGUUACGUCCCCUAUCCGUUGAUGUGGAGCAAGACGCAGCAGCAGAAGAGGACUCAGCCGAGGAGGUUAUGGAAGAGGAUGGAGUAGGAGGAGUAGAGGAGGUGGCAGCAGGCCUGCCUGCAAGUCAUGGCGGUGUCAC